This is a long non-coding RNA of Portunus trituberculatus (swimming crab), 2623 nucleotides long. RefSeq lists it as uncharacterized. The transcript is spliced from 3 exons. NCBI's taxonomy places the organism in Eukaryota, Metazoa, Arthropoda, Malacostraca, Decapoda, Portunidae. The record is from RefSeq and is a predicted model, not a curated record.
GUGGUGGUGCUGCAGGGAGAGAGGCAGGGCAGGUAAGUUGUAACGGCCCUGUUGAUGCCCUCAUGAAGCACCGGAAGGAGGUGGUGGUGGUGCUGCUAUCGCUCGAGUUUCUAGAACCUUCAGCCAAGCCCACCGUGUCCAGGGAGGCAGCCGGCGCACUGAGUGGUGGAAUGUGGAGUGUGGACCUACUGCUGCCUGGACCCGCGCCUCUCUGCUGACACUCUCUCCCUCCCGGACUCUGGUGCCGCCACCAAGCAUGUUAAGGACUUCCUGUAGCGGCUGUGUGACUGUGGAACUCGGGGGCGGCAGGCAAGAUUCAGGCCACCACACAGCUGGCAGUGACUGCUAACGGGUGGUGGGUGAUGGGCAGUGGCUCCCGGGCUGCAGCAGUGUGCCGGCUUCCCGUGUUACCGCACAUCAACACGGACAGUCGCACACAGCCAAGACACUGAGUUACUGAGUCACAAGCAGACUAUCUGAUCGAAUAAGUCAGAGAGAGAGAGAGAGAGACGGCAGGACAACGACUGCAAGGAAGGAAGGAAAGCAGUGGAGAUCGAGAGACCUAUAAUUCAUGGUGUGUGUCCGGGGCAAAGGCUGUUGGGAGGAGAGAGAGAGGAGACGGUAAACCAAGAAGCUGGCAAGAGAGAGGAAUAAUUGUGUCAGAGAGAGAGUGUGUGUGUGUGUGUGUGUGUGUGUGUUCUUUACUGCCAGCCCACCACCACCACUAACUUGUCUUGCCUGUGUUGUCUGUGGUGGUACAUAUCGUACCCACUAAACAGUGAGUGAAGCCAACCUUUCUCUGCAAACACUUAAUGGUCACUGUGCAUAGAGAAGAUGAACCAGGAGAAAGAGAGGGGGGAUUAUUCAUUUAUUCUCUUGUUUAUCUUUUGAGUUGUGACCUUGUUGUCCCGGUGUGUGGUGUGUGCCUGGUCUCAUGCCUAUCCCAAGAUCGGAAAUAAUGAGCUCUGAGCUCGCUCCGUAGGGUAACGUCUGGUUGUCUCGUCAGAGACUGUACCAGAUCAAACAGUGAAACAGUGACUAAUUCAUUCUCUUGCUUAUGUAAAUCAUUUAUCUUUUGACCUAUUAUCAUCUUUAUCUUUAAUUUUUUUUUUCUUGAAUGAUUAAUUUUAAAAAUGGUCACUGUGCACUAAAAGGUGGCAAGAGAAUAUAGUGUGGUGUGAAGAGAAAAGAUGAGACCAGAUAGAGACUCUUGUUCUUCCAUCUGGUCUCAUCUUUUCUCUUCACCACUAAUAUCUUACUUAUCUCUAAUUCUCUUAUCUACUUGCUUUUAUCUCUAAUUAUCUUGUCUAAUUGUAUCUCUUAUCUAUCUUCAUUCACACCACACUAUAUUCUUUUGCCCCCUCUUAGUGCACAGUGAUGACCAUUUGAACCUUCUACAGGAGAGAAAUGUUGGGUUCACUCACUCAAUCAUUCAAGUUGCAUAUAAACUUUAAAUCAUUCAUGUUCUCAACUGGUGAAACAUUUGCAGUGUCUACCCAGUAACAAAGACGAGGCAAGAUAAGAUGAUGUGGUGGGGGCAGUCAUGGGCGUGCAUACUCACACUCGCCUACAUACACAUACAUACCUCAUACUUACACCCUCUAUUUCUUUCUUUCUCUCUUGAAGCGGAGUUUACCAUCACCUCUCCAUUCUUCUCAGUGGUCUUGGCUGAAGAAGACACACACUUGACAAGACAGGACUCGCUCAAGAGGAUGGCCAAACUAGCAAAAUUCUGGGGUCACCAGUGUUUAUUUGCAGCAGUACAAGUGGAUGCAGCAGUACAAGUGGAUGGGGAUGAUGAGAGAACACACCAUUGAAGAGCACACACAGAGGUUAAAGAACAUGGUGAAAGAACACACCAUGGACACAACAGAUUAAAGAACACAACCUGAAUAACAUGCAUUUCUAUUUGUGUUAAGUUAUUGUUUUGAUGCUGGUCCCUUCUUCUCUUCUCUUCUCUGCGAUAGGAGGAACCUUUUUCUUUUCUUCGCUGGUCACUUCUCUCUUCUCUCCUUUGUUCUCUUCUUGGUAGCCUUCUCACCCUACUAUCUCUAAUCUCUUCUUUGAUGAUGGUGUGUUCCCUCCUUUUGUUGCCCAGUCUGUUUCCCUGCUCCUGUGUUCUCUCUCCUCUCAUGCUGCUGUGGUGUGUCUUUGAUAAUGACUAUUCCCAUUCUUGUGUUCUCUUCCUUACUGCAAGUGUCACUUCUCUUCUCUCUUACAUGCUCUGCUGGUGCCAACUCCUCUAUACUCACUGCUCACUCUUCUUUCUCAAUGCUCUCUACUGCCCUCAAGUUGUUGCUCUUCAUAAUGUUUCUAGUUCUUUGUUAUCCUCAGUCUUGCUGUCUUAAAUCUUGGUCUCUUCAUAAUGUCUCUUCCUCUCCUCUCAGUGGUCAGGGUGGCUGGUGGUAAUGUGGAGUGCAUUAGAUAUUAAACACUACAAAAUUUAUUUAAACACUACAAAAUUUAUUAUACACACAACUAACUAAUUAUUUGUUAAUUAAUAAGAUACCUAUUAAAAGACAACACUACUACUGCUGCUACUGUUCCUGUUUACUAAUAUGUAUUGCUGAAUGAGUCUAAACUUUCUUGAAAUAGAUUGAAUAAAAUGUGCAAAUGAGAGGCA